This 885-nucleotide long non-coding RNA is filed under the name Gopherus agassizii (Agassiz's desert tortoise). RNAcentral describes it as "lncRNA (ENSGAGG00000016351.1)". Lineage: Eukaryota; Metazoa; Chordata; Testudines; Testudinidae. The record is from RNAcentral.
AUGUUUGUCAUGCCUGUGAUCAGCGUGACACUGAGAUGUGUACGUUAUAUGGGUUGCUUUAUUUCAGAGUCUUCAGCAUUUCUGAAAACUGAUUUUGCCAAAAAAGCUGGACAAGGCCAAACCCUCCUUGUAAUAGACAGCAGUAUGGCGGGGAAAUCCUUCGAGGAAAAAAUCGCCUGGGUGUUGGCAUUAAAGAGGAGAAACAAGUACCCGGAAGGAAUGAAUAAAGCUGGCAGACUUAAUCUGCGUCGAUUUGCUGCCAACUUUUCUUUGGAAGAUGGGACACUUUUCCGUACUGGCAAAGGGAGAAAGGUCAUCGUCGUGCACACCAGGAACCGAGCCCUGGAGCUCUUCGAACAGCAUCAUGGGGGUCCCUGGGGCGGACACCAAGGAAUCUUUAAAACAAGAACCGCGCUGACCACCCGAUACUAUUGGCCUGGGAUGACGAAGGACAUCGUCCAGUGGGUGGAGCAAUGUGUGAAGUGCCAGAAGGGGAGAAAAGCUGUAACUCUGCACACCCCCGUGGAAAGCAAAACGGACACCCCCGUGGAAAGCAAAACGGACACCCCCGUGCAAAGCAAAGAGGUGAAUUUUGGACUUGGAGGCAUCUGCUAUGUAGCUUCUGAAAUGUCUUUUACACCCACAUCGGACAGAAUUUGCUACCUCUGGAGGAUUGGAAAUGGGGACCCCUCGCCUGGUGCUGGGAUGUGGCACCUCUGGGGCAGUGGGGGCCUGGGCUUCUGGGGACCUCUCGCCCGGCGCUGGGACGCAGCCCCUCUGGGAUGGGUGUGGGCUGGGCACAUGGAGUCCCCUUGCCUGGUCCUGGCAGGGUCGGUGCUUCCAUUAGGCGACCCUAGGCGAUCGCCUAGGGCGCCAGGAUUCAGG